GACAGAGGGGGCAAGCGUUGCUCGGAAUCACUGGGCGUAAAGGGCGCGUAGGCGGGAUGGCAAGUCGGUCGUGAAAUCCUUCGGCUCAACCGAAGAACGUCGGCCGAUACUGCCGUUCUUGAGGGAUGCAGAGGAGAUUGGAAUUCCCGGUGUAGCGGUGAAAUGUGUAGAUAUCAUUUGGAACGCCAAUGGUGAAAACAGCUCGCUGGGGGUGUGCUGACGCUGAGACACGAAAGCCAGGGGAGCGAACGGG
This 253-nucleotide ribosomal RNA is filed under the name uncultured prokaryote. RNAcentral describes it as "partial 16S ribosomal RNA". It matches the Rfam family "Bacterial small subunit ribosomal RNA", at positions 524 to 776 of the family's 1533-position model. The record is from RNAcentral.